CCCCGAGCGGCCGCUCCCCGCCCGGCACACAGUGCCCCGCAGCCUGCCCCGGCCCCGGCCCGCGGGAGCCGCCACCUCCCGCGCCCCCAGCUGCGGCGGGCUCCGCUCUACGCGACCGAAGACAAAGCGGUGCCGGGGGCCGGGCACGGCCGCAGAUGCUGAGGUGAGCCUGAAUUCCAGUACCUCAAUCUAGGUCAUGAAGCUAUCUUAAGCAUCUCCACCCAACAACAGACCUGCUCUCUGUGAAUCCCUCAGAAGCUUUCCCUUGCUUUGCUGGCCAAAGGUGUCUUUUCCUACGGGGCAUAGGAAACUCACUGUCAGCUGAAUGUUGCUGGUGUACCCCAGACAGUGUGGGACUGUGAUCUGCAGAGAAACAGCAGCUCUGACAAGGCUGCCACAGCUCUUGCCACAUUUGCUGACAUUUUUCUUUAUCCAACACUUCCUCAUCCUUCCUGGAACAUCGGAAUCAUUUUUAUUCCUGCAGAAUGUGCACACCUUGGCCUUGCAUAGACCCACACUGUAAUGCUCACAACAGGGCACUUGCAAGGCAAAUACUUUCAAACACUAUAAAAGCCAGAAGUCCAAACAUUGUGACUCAGAGCUCCAAAAUGUAACCAGACUGGGCUAUGUCAGUGGCUUUAUGGAAUAGUUGCUGGAGAGCUGUUUGCUAUCAUAUCAUUGUAAUAAUGUAGUCAUAUAAUAACAGCAGGUAAUGGAGCAGAAGCACCUGAAGACUGGGAACAUUAUUUUGUCAGACCAGCACAAACUGAGAGUUGUAUCGGCAGGACAUAAAACUGAAUGUGAACAAUUCAAAAGAAAUAAACAUCUCUAGUAAGACUCUCCUGCAGAACAAGCACAACACUCCUUUGAAUUUUAUUUCUUCCCAAUAAUUUUUAAUAGCAGAAGAAGAACUUUUUGCAAUGACACUUUGGGGGUUGUUUUGAAUUUUGUGUGGGAACAAACACAAAAUUCAAAACAACCAAUUCAGUCUAACAAACAGCCUCCUGGACAAAAUCCUUUAAGAUAACCAUAGGUGUAAAUUUUUACUUUAAAGGCAUCCUGAGUCAGUCAGGGAAAAAAUAAAAAUAAAAA
RNAcentral lists this long non-coding RNA (1092 nucleotides) under Strigops habroptila (Kakapo). RNAcentral's name for it is "lncRNA (ENSSHBG00005004501.1)". The record is from RNAcentral. Lineage: Eukaryota; Metazoa; Chordata; Aves; Psittaciformes; Psittacidae.